Jaculus jaculus (lesser Egyptian jerboa) is the source of this 212-nucleotide small nucleolar RNA. Its record names the gene U3. It matches the Rfam family "Small nucleolar RNA U3". Rfam says of the family: Small nucleolar RNAs (snoRNAs) are involved in the processing and modification of rRNA in the nucleolus. There are two main classes of snoRNAs: the box C/D class, and the box H/ACA class. The record is from Ensembl. NCBI's taxonomy places the organism in Eukaryota, Metazoa, Chordata, Mammalia, Rodentia, Dipodidae.
AAGACUAUACUUUCAGGGAUCAUUUCUAUAGCUUGUUACUAGAGAAGUUUCUCUGACUGUGCAGAGCACCGGAAACCUCGAGGAGGAGGCACAGCUCUCUCCUGAGCGUGAAGCCGGCCCUUGGUGUUGCUUCGCUGCAACUGGCAUUUGCCAUUGAUGAUCGUUCCUUCUCCUCUUGGGGAGCUGGAGGGAGAGGACGCAGUCUGCGUGGC